AGCUCGAGUUUCUCUUCAUUGUCGUGAUAAAUCUUUCGCCUUUUACUAAAGAUUUCCGUGGAGGGAGCUUUGACGAGUGACCUGUAUUUUGGGGGCUCUGCUCACAGCAGAGCU
This is a small nuclear RNA of Cyprinus carpio carpio, 114 nucleotides long. Its record names the gene U5. It matches the Rfam family "U5 spliceosomal RNA". Rfam says of the family: U5 RNA is a component of both types of known spliceosome. The precise function of this molecule is unknown, though it is known that the 5' loop is required for splice site selection and p220 binding, and that both the 3' stem-loop and the Sm site are important for Sm protein binding and cap methylation. The record is from Ensembl. Lineage: Eukaryota; Metazoa; Chordata; Actinopteri; Cypriniformes; Cyprinidae.